CAUUCCUAUGAAAGGCAGCAAGGUCCUCUUAUUACAAAGCCCUACACCCAUCUCUCUGUUGCAGCAACAGAAUUUUCUUUGUGGGUCAUGCCAAAUAAUUGCAAAACUUUCAGCAAUUUGCAGUGGAAAAUGGUGAGAAAUUAUUCAGAUACUUCCAGUAGCAGAAUUGUAGCAUGAAAUGAUGUUUUUAUUGAUAUUUUUGCUGAUGCAACCAAAUGUCAUGUGAUCGGUUGUAAAGUAAUGGCUGUCCAUGUAUUAAGCUGCAAAUCCAAGAAGUUUGUCUUGCACUACUAGUUUGUCUUCAACCGUUUGACUGGGAAGCCUAAUCCACCCUGAAAUCAUCUAAUUAACUUAACAAAUUCUUAUAUUAGAAGAUCAGGAGGUAAGUCCUGUUGUGGAAAUUCUUGCGAGCCAUCAAUUUCUCUUUAUCGAGUAUUAGGCUGUAGAAAGAGGCCUAAUAACAGUAUCAAUGCAUACAUAUAUAUACAAAUAUAUAUGUUUCUCUAUCUAGUAUCAUACGUCCUGAAUCUUGUAUUGCAACAGAGGAACCUUAAGUGCUGAAUCUUGGAUCCAUUGCCCUUAUUUCCCGCUUGCCCUUUGGUUUUUCCCCACAUAACAGCAUAAAACCAACAUCCAAUAUAAAGAGCAUCUGCCAGAAAGAUGAUACCCAUGAGUGCAGCAGCAAUUAUCCCUAAAGGCUUGAACGUAGAAACAAAGAAAGGUCCACUCGUUCUCACACAUAAUUUAGUCAUGUCAGCCGAGUUGUACAGUCCCAACUUCUGCCUGGGAAACUUUCGCAUCCUCAUAUCAAUCCAUUUUGUCCUGCAGCUGGCUCUAUAAAUCACUGUGGCCACUUUAUUCUUGAUCACUUUAUGGCGAUUUUUUUUUCUAAUCAAACGCAAAACAUUCAUUGAUGAAAACAAAAGAUUACAACCUAUCUUCAGAUGGCAAUUCACAUAACUUAUCCGGAGGAUUUGAGCACCACCCUGGAAACAGGUCCCCGGAUCUAACAGAACUGCAAACCAUGGAAUCGAGCCAUGCAUAGCUAAAAUCGUUUGAGAUCAGAUUUAAUACAGCAAUCAGAUUGGCGAUGCAAUUCCAAUAUUAUUAAUUCAAAACCUAAUAAUAACUUAACAAACUGCUUGAUGGUUAUAAUUUCUGUUAAUUGUUUCAAUAUGAAUGGAAUCUAAAUUAGAGCUAUAAAAGCAUCCAGGUGGGAGAGAGUGAAGGGACAGCAACCCAGCUAAACGAUAUAUUUUAGAAUAUUUUCGAGUUGUUGUUUUCUGCGGGGUACGUUGAAGGAAACUAGCAUCAAAUUAAUAGAAACGUGACCUGGAAGAGGUAAACUGAAAAAUAGAAAAACAAAAAAAAAUUAAGAUUCAAGCACUUAUUUCUAGAUGACAUAAAUUCAAAAAGCCGCUGACGGCACAGGCCAUCCACAAAUCUGAAAAUAGCAGUCAUGUGAUGUCCUCCAGCAUUUUUGCUUAUUCUUCUCAGCAAUCCCAAAUGUAUUGUUGUUAAUGAUGACUACCGAUCAUGAUUAGAUUUCAAUAACGGGAACAAUGAUUAGGUUUGAUAAGAUAAAAUAUAUUAUCAUUUGGUGAAACGUUGGUAUUAGAUAAGAUAAUUAAGCUUUUAAUUAUUAGGAUUUUACCAUUUUAUUACUUAUAUUUUUCCUUAAAUUUUUAAUAAAUUAUGUGCCCAACAAAUGGGCAUGAUCUGUAUAUACUCAAGUUUCAUUUAGACAUGCAUAGUCUGGGCUUGGUCUCUUAGAUUUGAAUCCCACUCCAUCAAGGCUCAAUCCUCUACUAAUUAUAUAUAUAUAUAUGUGUGUGUG
Molecule: unclassified non-coding RNA, 1837 nt
Filed under: Hevea brasiliensis (rubber tree)
Lineage: Eukaryota; Viridiplantae; Streptophyta; Magnoliopsida; Malpighiales; Euphorbiaceae
Source: RNAcentral